GCUUGGGUAGUUUAAUUUAAAAUACAAAGUUGUGGUCUUUGAGAAGUUUUUACUCUAAGUU
Molecule: transfer RNA, 61 nt
Filed under: Olidiana tongmaiensis
Lineage: Eukaryota; Metazoa; Arthropoda; Insecta; Hemiptera; Cicadellidae
Description: tRNA-His
Source: RNAcentral